Molecule: small nucleolar RNA, 233 nt
Filed under: Kazachstania africana CBS 2517
Lineage: Eukaryota; Fungi; Ascomycota; Saccharomycetes; Saccharomycetales; Saccharomycetaceae
Source: RNAcentral
AACUUUGUCCAAAAGUUUCCUGCGCAAUAGACAGUACGAAGAUAAUUUUGCGUUUUCAUGACGUUUUGUCUGUUGAAAAUUUUUGCAUCCACAAUAUUAUUCUUAUCGUGAUAUGCGUAUUAGGAAAGAUCAAUCUUUUUGGUCAUCUUUUAAGAACUCGAGCCGAAUGAUUUUUUGUACCUUCGUGGUGUAUUGGUCUAAUGAAUCUCGAGUGUCAGAGGGUGCCUAUAUCU